GCAAGUCGAGCGCGAAAACACUUCGGUGUGAGUAGAGCGGCGGACGGGUGAGUAACGAUUACGAAUCCAACUGGUAGUGGGGGACAACUUGGGGAAACUCAAGCUAAUACCUCAUACGCCCUAAGGGGGAAAGUGGGGGAUCUUCGGACCUCACGCUAUCGGAUGAGCCUGCGUAGGAUUAGCUUGUUGGUGAGGUAAAAGCUCACCAAGGCGACGAUCCUUAGCUGGUCUGAGAGGAUGAUC
RNAcentral lists this ribosomal RNA (243 nucleotides) under uncultured bacterium. Its description in RNAcentral is "partial 16S ribosomal RNA". It matches the Rfam family "Bacterial small subunit ribosomal RNA", at positions 57 to 305 of the family's 1533-position model. The record is from RNAcentral.